RNAcentral lists this ribosomal RNA (172 nucleotides) under uncultured bacterium. RNAcentral's name for it is "partial 16S ribosomal RNA". It matches the Rfam family "Bacterial small subunit ribosomal RNA", at positions 338 to 525 of the family's 1533-position model. The record is from RNAcentral.
CCUACGGGAGGCAGCAGUGGGGAAUUUUCCGCAAUGGGCGAAAGCCUGACGGAGCAACGCCGCGUGAGGGACGAAGGCCUCUGGGCUGUAAACCUCUUUUCUCAAGGAAGAAGAUCUGACGGUACUUGAGGAAUAAGCCUCGGCUAAUUCCGUGCCAGCAGCCGCGGUAAUA